Fukomys damarensis (Damara mole-rat) is the source of this 2944-nucleotide long non-coding RNA. RefSeq lists it as uncharacterized. NCBI's taxonomy places the organism in Eukaryota, Metazoa, Chordata, Mammalia, Rodentia, Bathyergidae. The transcript is spliced from 3 exons. The record is from RefSeq and is a predicted model, not a curated record.
GAUCCCCUGCCACCACAGAGCUUCUCAAUAGGGGCUCAUCAGGGCCUAAGGGCAAGCGAGGGCAGUGCCUCACAGGAUGAGGGGGGGACGCAGGCCCAGCUAAGGGAGGAAAGCUGAAGUAGAUUCAUCGGAACCCUUCUAACUUCUGCUCCCUCUCCCCGCUCUAAAACGCUUCAGACCACACCCCGGAGCCUGCUUUGCAGUCUCAGGAAAUCAGCCUGUGUUGAUCUUCAGCAGCAUUACAAACAAGAGAAUUUUAAAAAAUGAGCAAGACAAUACAAAUCACUGAAAAGAAAUCGAACAGGAAUUACCAGACUCUCAUGCAUGCACAGGAACCCCAAGAUAGCAGCUCCUCCUGUGACCACAAUGCGGCCCAGCGCCUCAACAGAGGCUCAGAAUAUGAAGCACUUUUCUCCCUCCUCAUCUGGGAUCCAAUCCAGGAGCCUGUCUUGCAUUUGGUUUUCAUGUCUUUUUAAUCUGGAACAAUCCCUUACCUGUCUUUGCCUUUGGGGACAUUCACACCUUUGAAGAAUAUGGACCACUAGGUUUGUAGGAUUUCUCUCAAUUUGGCUUUGCCCAGUGUCUGUCUGUGGUUAGAGUCAGAGAAUUGUGGGUAGGACUCAUGGCUUGUGAGGCUAAGUCCUUCCCAGUGCGGCACAUCAGGAGGCACUGGAGGUCAGUAUGCCCCAUUCAUUGAUGCUAACUUUGAUCACCUGUCUAUGGGGCUGGUGAGGUUUCUGCAGUGUGAACUUGUCACCUCCUCCUCCUCCUUCAUAAUUAGUGCUGUGGGGAGAUUUGAGACUCAAGUAUAUGCCUCCUCAAACCCUCACCGAACAGUUUGGCAUUUCUUGAUGAUUCUUGCUGAGCUCAGUUGUCUCUAUGAUGUCAGCAAAAAGUGCCAAUCACUAACUCAUGUCUUCUAAUUUACUGUGUUCAUGCUCCAUCUUAUUUUUAUAAACGAAUGAAAAUGCAGUUUCAAAAUUUGUAUGCUGGAACAGGUGGUAUAGCUCUGUGAUACAGCGUAUGUUUAGUACAUGCAAAGCUCUGAGUUCAUUCCUCAGCACACAAAGAAAACCCUGCAAAAAUUCUAUGCCAAUGAUAAUAAAAGUAGAAUUAGCCUAUGUGUGUAGGCCUUUGGGCUUGCUCUGCUUGACCCAUCUCAACAUUAUAGAAUUACGAUGCUACAAAGACUGUCCCAGACUCUUUUGAAAUGUUGCUGAUACAGGCUUUUGCUGUCAUUUCAAGCUCUUCUUUUCCUAUCUUUUUUUACUGAACCCAGGACCUCUUGCAUGACAGGCAAGUGAUCUACCACUGAGCUAGAUCCCAAGCCCCAUUUUAAUCUUUAAGACUAAGAUUAAAGUUUGUUUGCAAUCAACAUCCUCACAUGUUAUGGCUGUGGUUUUUGAAAAAGAAUUCAGAUGUGUGUGCAUGUGUAAAUCACAUUCACAUUCAGUUCCAACUAGAUCUUUAACAUUAAUCCUAAUCGGUCACACAUACUAUGCAGAUUCCUUGGUCUGGCAGAGAAAUUGCUUGUCAUUACUUCUGGGAGGCUACCACCAAGGCCUGAAAUGAUGGGGACCUGUGGAGCCAGAUCCUUCUCAGGUUCCUGCUGUCUUAGGUAAUAGAUGUUUGCUAUCACCUUUAUGAAGGUGAGCUAACUACCGCUGGAAUAAUAGGUGGGGCCUUCAACAAGGUCGCUUCUGCAAUUGCACCACAGAAAGAAGGCUUCUGCCUCAUCUCUCAGAAUCGAGAAGCGGCUUCAGAAUUGUUUGACUUCAGUCAAGUGGCUGCGUUUCAGCAAGCAUUAAGCAAACAUCACCUGUUCUGCUAGCCAAACAUGCCUUCCUAGCACUAGUGCAAGAGAGGAAUAAAAAGGUGGAGAACCUCAAGGAUGUCUGGCCCUCUUCCAUUUUCUACCUGGAAAAAAUGUCUUCAUCUUAAUACUGCUGUUUGCUUAUAACAAUUGUGCCUUAUAUUAUUUGCAUCUUGGGGCCAGUGCUAACAUAGCCAUGUAACAUAGCCAUUUGAACAAUGACUCACCCCUCAAGUCCUUUGAAAGACACCCUGACCAUGAAUUUGUUAUGAAAACCAGGAGAAAAAUUCUUCUGUUUCAAUUGGACUUGUCCUUAAAAAAAGGCAGUCUCUGAUGUGUAAUGAUAAAUGAUUAAAAAACCUUUAUUUUGUUGCGUGGGGGGGGUGCUGGAGUUUGAAGCCGAGGACUCCUGUAUAGAAGGUAAAUGCUCUACCACUGAGCUACACUCUAAGUCCUGAUCUCUUAAAAAUGUUUUUAACUAGGGGGAAAAAAAUAUUUGAGCCCCAAAUAUGGUUCUAAAACCAAGGGAAAACAUUGCUUGCUUUUAUCAGUCAUUUCAGAGGUGAGAUGACUGAGCAAUUUACCUUCAUUAGCUUUGCUAUUAGUAACACCUCUGAUGUAUGGUCACUAUGGUAACAGAUGUUCAAGCUGGUUGUCAGGAAGUGGGAGGCUGCUUUUGUUUCUCUCAAACCAGCUGAAUUCAGCCACACUUUCUACUUUGCAUGGGCCUGCUCAGGUACAAUGAUGACCUUUCAAUAGUGAAGAGCCAAGAACUGCAUCUUCAGAUCACACUAACGCUGCCAUUUUCUAAACUUGUGACCUGCUUAGAAUCAUGACAUUCACCUGUGACUAUACAGAUCUUCCUGUCGCCAGUCACCUUCUCCUCUGCCUCAGACUCCUAAACGUUAUCUUCAGAGAGGUAGUUUUGAAAUUGGGGACAGGGCCCUCCCUCUUUAUGAUUUGUGGCUCAAGAACAAAAUCUUUCUCUUGUGUAAAACUCAUGUCAGUGCUUGGUAUACAGAGCAAAAUGGGUCUUAUUCGGUAUAGUUCAAGUAUCAAAACAAAAUGAAAAAUAUAUUCUCUGACUUCCCUUGCUCUCUUUGGGUAAUAUUUUUGUUAGUUUCUUCUUUA